RNAcentral lists this long non-coding RNA (1243 nucleotides) under Nicotiana benthamiana. Its description in RNAcentral is "long non-coding RNA (NBEN_LNC010962)". The record is from RNAcentral. Lineage: Eukaryota; Viridiplantae; Streptophyta; Magnoliopsida; Solanales; Solanaceae.
GUUGAAUAAAAUACUACACACUUAUAUGUACAAUUCAAAUAAAGAAAAUGAAGAAAUAAACAUAAGCGGGUAAGAAAAUCCUAACCACAAGCUUUCAAUCUUCAAAACCAAAGUGUGUGUGCAAGAAUCCUAGCUUCCAACUUGUUCUCUCUUGUAUUUAAAGACUAAAAAUAAGCCAAAGAUGAGAUGAUUUGAGUAUUAAAGGGUUUGGGGUAAAAAAUUUUGAAAUUCCAGAUCUGCUCAGUUUUUACGCCCAGUCUUCAUCGCAUUCGCGCUCAAGCCUUCGCGUUCGAAAAGACUUACUCCCCACAGUCAACGUGUUCGCGUUUACCUCUUCGCGUUCGCGAAGGAUCUUGUUCUGCUACAUCGCGUUUGCGUGAUACACUUCGCGUUAGCAAAUGUCUGGCUCCUGUUUCAUCGCGUUCAAGAAGGCUUGGCUCCUGUUUCCUUGCAUUCGCAGUGUCACUUCGCGUUCGGGAAGAGUAAAUCACUGGGCAGAUUUUCCUAGUCCAUUUUAGAUUCUUUUUGAGUUGUUUUCACUUGGUUUCACCACCAUUACUUUUAAAUCACAUAGAACCUAUGAAAUGGAAGUAAACGACAUUAAACACAUGAUUUUACCACUCAAACAUAGCAAAAAAAUAGGUUUAAAGAUAAAAUAAGUUGGCAAAAUACCAACUCAUCAACAGUUAGGGGUGAAGGAUGUAUAAAACAUCAGCUUGAGGGGGAGUGUUGACUAGAGUUAGUUAAUCAAGCUGAUAAGUUAAUUAUGUAAUUAUAGUUAGGUGGCUAGUUAGUUAGCACAAUAAAUAGAAGUUAGUUAUACUAUAGAUAUAAGAAUACACAGUUUACUCUGUAAAUAUACGCUUGUAUCAUUUCAUUUUUCCAUUUUCCUAAAAACCAAGUUCUGUUUCUUUGAACUGUGAGUUAUUUGCAUGUCUUCUUCGUUGAGCUAGAUCUCUAGAUCCAUGGCAGCUAACAGUUUUCCUAUAACACUAAUAUUUAUACAACAUUUCCUUAUAUAGAAGAGAAUUAAAACAAUAGCAACCAAUAAUGGUAUUGAUUCUGCACCACCACACAAACUUCAUCGGGACAUAGUUAGGUUGCCUAGUUCUUGGAACAGAUAAUUGAAUAUCCGAAAACAAGUUCCGAGGAAGUUUGUGUGACGGUACAGAAUUAGUACUAGUAGUAGUUGGUGUUAUUUGAAUUCUCUUCUAUAUAAAGACUAGUGUUAUAGAAAAACGCA